Molecule: ribosomal RNA, 284 nt
Filed under: Salmonella enterica
Lineage: Bacteria; Pseudomonadati; Pseudomonadota; Gammaproteobacteria; Enterobacterales; Enterobacteriaceae
Description: partial 16S ribosomal RNA
Rfam family: Bacterial small subunit ribosomal RNA
Source: RNAcentral
AAAUUGAAGAGUUUGAUCAUGGCUCAGAUUGAACGCUGGCGGCAGGCCUAACACAUGCAAGUCGAACGGUAACAGGAAGCAGCUUGCUGUUUCGCUGACGAGUGGCGGACGGGUGAGUAAUGUCUGGGAAACUGCCUGAUGGAGGGGGAUAACUACUGGAAACGGUGGCUAAUACCGCAUAACGUCGCAAGACCAAAGAGGGGGACCUUCGGGCCUCUUGCCAUCAGAUGUGCCCAGAUGGGAUUAGCUAGUUGGUGAGGUAACGGCUCACCAAGGCGACGAUC